RNAcentral lists this non-coding RNA (173 nucleotides) under Clostridium kluyveri. Its description in RNAcentral is "Lysine sequence". It matches the Rfam family "Lysine riboswitch aptamer". From Rfam's summary of the family: Riboswitches are metabolite binding domains within certain messenger RNAs that serve as precision sensors for their corresponding targets. Allosteric rearrangement of mRNA structure is mediated by ligand binding, and this results in modulation of gene expression. Lineage: Bacteria; Bacillati; Bacillota; Clostridia; Eubacteriales; Clostridiaceae. RNAcentral also lists the same sequence under 1 other name. The record is from RNAcentral.
GCCUAGGGUAGAGGUGCUGUAAUUAAUAGUAUUUAUUUUUAAUCGGCAGAUGUUUGAGGAAUAAAGAAAGGAAUUACAGCCGAAAAGUUAGUUUGGCGAACCUAACUUUGGCUUUGCAUAUAAUAUGUGUAAGGCUGUCACUGAGAUAUACUUGGUGGAGAGCUACAAGGUAC